RNAcentral lists this ribosomal RNA (495 nucleotides) under uncultured Glomus. RNAcentral's name for it is "SSU rRNA". It matches the Rfam family "Eukaryotic small subunit ribosomal RNA", at positions 569 to 1069 of the family's 1831-position model. The record is from RNAcentral. Lineage: Eukaryota; Fungi; Glomeromycota; Glomeromycetes; Glomerales; Glomeraceae.
AGCAGCCGCGGUAAUUCCAGCUCCAAUAGCGUAUAUUAAAGUUGUUGCAGUUAAAAAGCUCGUAGUUGAAUUUCGGGGUCAGUAGGCUGGUCGUGCCACAGGUACGCACUGGUCUCACUGAUUCCUCCUUCCUGAUGAACCGUAAUGCCAUUAAUUUGGUGUUGCGGGGAGACUGGACUGUUACUUUGAAAAAUUAGAGUGUUCAAAGCAGGCUAACGCUUGAAUACAUUAGCAUGGAAUAAUGAAAUAGGACGUUCGGUCUUAUUUUGUUGGUUUCUAAGAUUGACGUAAUGAUUAAUAGGGAUAGUUGGGGGCAUUAGUAUUCAAUUGUCAGAGGUGAAAUUCUUGGAUUUAUUGAAGACUAACUACUGCGAAAGCAUUUGCCAAGGAUGUUUUCAUUAAUCAAGAACGAAAGUUAGGGGAUCGAAGACGAUCAGAUACCGUCGUAGUCUUAACCAUAAACUAUGCCGACUAGGGAUCGGAUGAUGUAAUUUU